RNAcentral lists this ribosomal RNA (465 nucleotides) under uncultured bacterium. Its description in RNAcentral is "partial 16S ribosomal RNA". It matches the Rfam family "Bacterial small subunit ribosomal RNA", at positions 29 to 523 of the family's 1533-position model. The record is from RNAcentral.
AGCGAACGCUAGCGGCAGGCUUAACACAUGCAAGUCGAGCGCCAGGUUUCGGCCUGGAGCGGCGAACGGGUGAGUAACACGCAGGUCACGUACCUUAUGGUGGGGAAUACCCCGGGGAAACUCGGAUCAAUGCCCCAUAUGUCCGAAAGGAUGAAAGCGCUUCGGCGCGCCAGAGGAUCGGCCUGCGGCCCAUUAUUUAAUCCUAGUUGGUGAGGUAACGGCUCACCAAGGGUACGAUGGGUAGCUGGUCUGAGAGAACGAUCAGCCACACUGGAAAUGAGACACGGUCCAGACUCCUACGGGAGGCAGCAGUAGGGAAUAUUGGACAAUGGGCGAAAGCCUGAUCCAGCCAUGCCGCGUGAGUGAUGAAGGCCUUCGGGUUGUAAAGCUCUGUCGUGGGGGAAGAAGUUCUGACGGUACCCCACAAGAAAGCACCGGCUAACUCCGUGCCAGCCGCCGCUGUAA